UACGUAGGGUGCGAGCGUUAAUCGGAAUUACUGGGCGUAAAGCGUGCGCAGGCGGGCUUUUAAGCCAGACGUGAAAUCCCCGGGCUUAACCUGGGAAUGGCGUUUGGGACUGGAAGUCUGGAGUGCGGCAGAGGAGACUGGAAUUCCUGGUGUAGCAGUGAAAUGCGUAGAUAUCAGGAGGAACACCGAUGGCGAAGGCAGGUCUCUGGGCUGACACUGACGCUCAUGCACGGAAGCGUGGGGAGCAAACAGG
This 253-nucleotide ribosomal RNA is filed under the name uncultured bacterium. RNAcentral's name for it is "partial 16S ribosomal RNA". It matches the Rfam family "Bacterial small subunit ribosomal RNA", at positions 524 to 776 of the family's 1533-position model. The record is from RNAcentral.